CNCGGUCCGGUUUCGUAGGUGACCUGCGGAGGUCAUUACAGAGUUCUGGGUCCUUCGGGGCCCGUCCUCCAACCCCUUGUAUACAUACCUCGUUGCUUCGGCGGACCAGCGCGUCGAGAGGCGCGCGUCCGGCCCCCUUGAACCGGGGCUGGGGAGCGUCCGCCGGAGGCCUUCAAACUCUUGUUUGUAACGAUGCAGUCUGAUCGAAUAUCAAAUAUUCUAAAACUUUCAACAACGGAUCUCUUGGUUCUGGCAUCGAUGAAGAACGCAGCGAAAUGCGAUAAGUAAUGUGAAUUGCAGAAUUCAGUGAAUCAUCGAAUCUUUGAACGCACAUUGCGCCCCUUGGCAUUCCGAGGGGCAUGCCUGUUCGAGCGUCAUUACAACCCUCAAGCUCUGCUUGGUGUUGGGCCUCGUCCCCCCGCGGACGUGCCUCAAAAUCAUCGGCGGUGGCGUCUUGCCUCAAGCGUAGUAAAAUUCUUCUCGCUUUGGAGGUUGGGGCGCCCCCCGCCGGACGAACCUUUAUACUUCUAUCAAGGUUGACCUCGGAUCAGGUAGGGAUACCCGCUGAACUUAAGCAUAUCAAUAAGCGGAGGAA
RNAcentral lists this ribosomal RNA (595 nucleotides) under Septorioides pini-thunbergii. Its description in RNAcentral is "eukaryotic LSU rRNA". The stretch from base 224 to 377 matches the Rfam family "5.8S ribosomal RNA". The record is from RNAcentral. Lineage: Eukaryota; Fungi; Ascomycota; Dothideomycetes; Botryosphaeriales; Septorioideaceae.